CUCCCCCAGUGAUGUUUGUGAAGAAGAAGUCAGGGGAACUACGCUUGGUGGUGGACUACAGAGCAUUGAACAAUAUCACCAAGCGGAACAGCUAUCCCCUGCCCUUAAUCUCGGAUCUACUGGAUCGGCUUCGAGGAGCCAAGGUUUACACCAAGCUGGAUCUUCGGGGGGCUUACAACUUAGUUCGCAUCAGGGAAGGGGACGAGUGGAAGACCGCCUUCCAGACCAAAUUCGGAUUAUUCGAGUCCCGAGUUAUGAAUUUCGGUUUAUGCGGAGCUCCCGCAACGUUCCAGCAUUUUAUCAAAAGCGCAUUUUUCCAGCUUGGCAUAAAGUCCAUGAUCCCGCAAUCGUUGUAACACCAUUUUGACGUGGUUCUCAUGUUCUGAUUGUGAUCUAGAAAACACCAAAAAAUCGUCCAGGUAGAUUAUCAAGAACCUAUCUAGAUAGUCCUGGAAAAUGUCAUUGACAAAAUGCUGGAACGUUGCGGGAGCUCCGCAUAAUCCAUAAUUCAUAACUCGGGACUCGAAUAAUCCGAAUUUAGUCUGGAAGGCGGUCUUCCACUCGUCCCCUUCUCUGAUGCGAACUAAGUUGUAAGCUCCCCGAAGAUCCAGCUUGGUGUAAACCUUGGCUCCUCGAAGUCGGUCUAGUAGAUCCGAGAUUAAGGGCAGGGGGUAGCUGUUCCGCUUGGUGAUAUUAUUCAAUGCUCUGUCGUCCACCACCAAGCGUAAUUCCCCUGACUUCUUCUUCACAAACAUCACUGGGGAGGCGGCUGGGGAUUGAGAGGGUCUGAUGAAUCCCUUGCGAAGGUUUGUCUCUAUGAAUUCCCUGAGAGCUUCUUGCUCUGGUUCAGUCAGGGAGUAGAGAUGCCCUCGCGGGAUCGGGGCCCCCUCCACCAAGUCAAUGGCACAGUCAUAAGGUCUAUGUGGGGGUAACCUUUCGGCUUCUUUUUCAUUGAAUACAUCCCAAUACUCGGAGUACUUCUUUGGCAAGGUAAUAAUGGGCUCGGUGUCUGUGGCAUGGCAGACCUUGGCUACGAGGCAAUGAUUUUGGCAGUACUUUGAAGCAAACUGCAGUUCUCUGUUGGACCAGGAGAUGCUUGGGUCGUGAAGUGUCAGCCAUGGAAUCCCCAAAAUCACAGGGAAAUGGGGAACCUCAGUAACAAAGAAGGAAAUCUCUUCCAUAUGUUCCCUUAUCCACAUCCUGGUGGGUUCCGACCACUGGCUUACGGGGCCCGUCUUGAGAGGGCGACCAUCAAUGGCUUGCACCACACGGGCAUUCUUGAAGUCAUGAUAUUGUAAUCCCAGAGAGUCGGCAUACUCUCUAUCAAUGAAAUUGUUGGUAGCUCCUGAGUCUAUCAUGGCGUGGAUCAUGACGGGUCCCCUUUUUGCUGACCAUAAGGUGACCACUAGAAGGAACAGGACCCCGGUUGGCGGCUCUUGAACGGGUUUCUUGACCGGGUUGGCGAGCCUCUCUACGCCCGGUCGUUGGCUUCCCCCGCCGGCUGUGUGCCAGCCGCCUCAGACGCCUUCGUCUCCGUGGAGGACGCCGCCGCAAGACGGGCGGCGGGCUUCCCUUUGGCUGGGCACUCUCUGGCGAAGUGGCCCCCAUUUCCGCAAUACCAACAGAGAUUUAGGCGUUGGCGGCGGGCCUUCUCGGCGGCAUCUAAUCUGGGACGCACAUUGCCCAACUGCAUCGGCACCUCCUCGCUCCCUCUGGGGUAUGGGGAUGGUGGUGGGGGUCUCCACACUGGACGCGGCUGAACGCUGGCGGGAGCGGGGGGUUUUGCCCCAGCUCUACCGCUCUGGCCUCGUACCCACUGUUUCCUGUUGGCAAUCAUGACUUCAGCCCGUAAACAUUGAUCGAUGAGUGCUUCAAGCGUUUGGGGAGGAUCCACCUUGGAGAUUUCCUCCAGCAUUUCAAUGUUGAGACCCUCCCGAAAUUGUCCUCUGAGGGCAACAUCGUUCCAGCCGGUGUUGUGGGCCAGCACUCGGAACUCGGCUAUGUACUGAGACAUGGGUCUGUCUCCUUGGAAGAGGCGGCGGAGUUUGUGACCGGCUGCCUCCAAAUUGUCCUCGAUUCCCCAGGUCGCCUUAAGGUGGUCCAAGAAAUGUUGCGCUGACCUUAGAUGUGGGGAGGCUUGGUCGAACAGAGCCGUCGCCCAGUUAGCCGCUGGCCCGUCUAGGAGACUGUAAAUCCACGCCACCUUGAUGUCUUCCUGGGGAAACUCGGCAUCACGGGCCUCUAGAUAAGCUUGGCAUUGGCGACGGAAAACAUGAACCUUAGAAGCUUCUCCAGUAAAUUUGGUUGGCAACGCCAUGGCCGGAAGACGGAUUCCGCGUUCCUUCAAACCCUUUAUUUCCCCAUCCUGUGCAUUGAGCUUAUCACGGAUUCGGUCCACCUCAUCCUUGUCGAUGGUGUAGGUAAUCGGCUGGCCGCUCGGCCCAGGUACGGUUCCGGUAGACAUUCUGGCCGAGGUUAAUUGGUGCUUAGGGUGGCGGAGUCAAACUGUCACGACCCAGACUACAGAGCACCAAUAACCAUACGCAGAGGCCAGAUUCUAUCUAAUAUCUUUAUUAAAGAAAUAUAUAAAGUUAGUAAAAGCAAAUGUAAAAGUUAGUCCAGAAGCAGACCUUUCAGGAAAGGUCAAAAUUAGUCCAAAGAAACAAUGUCCAAUAUGAAAUAUUAAGGUCCAAAGUUGUAAUCCAAUAACCGAAACACUCACUUUGCCAGGCAAAGUGAGGGGAGAUGACAAGGUCCUUUAGUCCAUGAACUUGAGCAAGGCUAGGAAAUAACUUGAUACAUGAAACAAGGCUUGAAACGUGGAACAAGGUAACGAGGAACAAGAACAAGGUCCGUGGAAUAACUUGGUAAAAUCCGUGAAACAAGGCAAGGGUUAGUCCUGGGAAACAAGGCAAGAUCCGUAGGUAAACAAAGGCUGGGAAACAGGAACGAAGGCUGGAAACAAGGCAAGGCUUGAGCAGGAACGAGGCUUGAAUCGGAGCGCGCUGUCCAGACACAACUCGCUCCGGAGGCUGACGAAUUGACUCCGCGAAGUUACUACGCGGGUAAAACACCUAUAAAGAGUCUAACUUUCCCGCCGAAGCAGUUCUCUGGGAACCAGAAACGAAAGCUAAACUCUGAGACCAGAUGUCUGACUCCUUAAAGAUUCUCACGAAAAGCAGACUUAAUUGGGUACAUUCUUAGCUGCUAUCCUCGCACUCCUGUGCGAAGCUGCUUCCAAACCCCUCUGUUGUUUACAAAACUCAUGGCGAGAGAACACGGGAGAUGUAGGCUCAGGGUUUGUUUGACAUACUUCUGGGACACAACUUUCUUGCAGGUGCAAGGUUCCCAGAUCUGCCUGGGAAAGAUCUGGCUGAGAAGAUUCCAGUUCUGACUGGGAAGGUAAAAAACCCAAGUUUUCUUCUUCAUCAGGCAUUACAAUGUCAUGAGCAGGACUACAAGGCCCAUGAGUCAUCACAAAAUGGCAGAAAUUCAAUGCCUAAAAACAAUGUAAAAACAACAAUUCAUAUAAAACAAUCUACAAAACAACAGUUCAUAUAA
This 3561-nucleotide long non-coding RNA is filed under the name Anolis carolinensis (green anole). RNAcentral describes it as "lncRNA (ENSACAG00000034733.1)". The record is from RNAcentral. Lineage: Eukaryota; Metazoa; Chordata; Lepidosauria; Squamata; Anolidae.